RNAcentral lists this ribosomal RNA (239 nucleotides) under Klebsiella pneumoniae. RNAcentral's name for it is "partial 16S ribosomal RNA". It matches the Rfam family "Bacterial small subunit ribosomal RNA", at positions 345 to 576 of the family's 1533-position model. The record is from RNAcentral. Lineage: Bacteria; Pseudomonadati; Pseudomonadota; Gammaproteobacteria; Enterobacterales; Enterobacteriaceae.
GAGGCAGCAGUGGGGAAUAUUGCACAAUGGGCGCAAGCCUGAUGCAGCCAUGCCGCGUGUGUGAAGAAGGCCUUCGGGUUGUAAAGCACUUUCAGCGGGGAGGAAGGCGGUGAGGUUAAUAACCUCAUCGAUUGACGUUACCCGCAGAAGAAGCACCGGCUAACUCCGUGCCAGCAGCCGCGGUAAUACGGAGGGUGCAAGCGUUAAUCGGAAUUACUGGGCGUAAAGCGCACGCAGGC